RNAcentral lists this ribosomal RNA (468 nucleotides) under uncultured bacterium. RNAcentral describes it as "partial 16S ribosomal RNA". It matches the Rfam family "Bacterial small subunit ribosomal RNA", at positions 28 to 507 of the family's 1533-position model. The record is from RNAcentral.
GACGAACGCUGGCGGCGUGCUUAACACAUGCAAGUCGAACGGAAAGGCCCUGCUUUUGUGGGGUGCUCGAGUGGCGAACGGGUGAGUAACACGUGAGUAACCUGCCCUUGACUUUGGGAUAACUUCAGGAAACUGGGGCUAAUACCGGAUAGGAGCUCCUGCUGCAUGGUGGGGGUUGGAAAGUUUCGGCGGUUGGGGAUGGACUCGCGGCUUAUCAGCUUGUUGGUGGGGUAGUGGCUUACCAAGGCUUUGACGGGUAGCCGGCCUGAGAGGGUGACCGGCCACAUUGGGACUGAGAUACGGCCCAGACUCCUACGGGAGGCAGCAGUGGGGAAUAUUGCCCAAUGGGCGGAAGCCUGAUGCAGCAACGCCGCGUGCGGGAUGACGGCCUUCGGGUUGUAACCCGCUUUCGCCUGUGACGAAGCGUGAGUGACGGUAAUGGGUAAAGAAGCACCGGCUAACUACGUG